UUGCUUGGUGGUGAGAGUGGCGAACGGGUGAGUAAUGCGUGACCGACCUGCCCCAUACACCGGAAUAGCUCCUGGAAACGGGUGGUAAUGCCGGAUGCUCCAGUUGAUCGCAUGGUCUUCUGGGAAAGCUUUCGCGGUAUGGGAUGGGGUCGCGUCCUAUCAGCUUGACGGCGGGGUAACGGCCCACCGUGGCUUCGACGGGUAGCCGGCCUGAGAGGGCGACCGGCCACAUUGGGACUGAGAUACGGCCCAGACUCCUACGGGAGGCAGCAGUGGGGAAUAUUGCACAAUGGGCGCAAGCCUGAUGCAGCGACGCCGCGUGAGGGAUGGAGGCCUUCGGGUUGUAAACCUCUUUUAUCGGGGAGCAAGCGUGAGUGAGUUUACCCGUUGAAUAAGCACCGGCUAACUACGUGCCAGCAGCCGCGGUAAUACGUAGGGUGCAAGCGUUAUCCGGAAUUAUUGGGCGUAAAGGGCUCGUAGGCGGUUCGUCGCGUCCGGUGUGAAAGUCCAUCGCUUAACGGUGGAUCCGCGCCGGGUACGGGCGGGCUUGAGUGCGGUAGGGGAGACUGGAAUUCCCGGUGUAACGGUGGAAUGUGUAGAUAUCGGGAAGAACACCAAUGGCGAAGGCAGGUCUCUGGGCCGUUACUGACGCUGAGGAGCGAAAGCGUGGGGAGCGAACAGGAUUAGAUACCCUGGUAGUCCACGCCGUAAACGGUGGAUGCUGGAUGUGGGGCCCGUUCCACGGGUUCCGUGUCGGAGCUAACGCGUUAAGCAUCCCGCCUGGGGAGUACGGCCGCAAGGCUAAAACUCAAAGAAAUUGACGGGGGCCCGCACAAGCGGCGGAGCAU
RNAcentral lists this ribosomal RNA (848 nucleotides) under human gut metagenome. RNAcentral's name for it is "bacterial SSU rRNA". It matches the Rfam family "Bacterial small subunit ribosomal RNA", at positions 79 to 940 of the family's 1533-position model. The record is from RNAcentral.